RNAcentral lists this transfer RNA (59 nucleotides) under Sergentomyia darlingi. RNAcentral describes it as "tRNA-Ser". The stretch from base 7 to 57 matches the Rfam family "tRNA", at positions 9 to 63 of the family's 71-position model. From Rfam's summary of the family: Transfer RNA (tRNA) molecules are approximately 80 nucleotides in length. Their secondary structure includes four short double-helical elements and three loops (D, anti-codon, and T loops). The record is from RNAcentral. Lineage: Eukaryota; Metazoa; Arthropoda; Insecta; Diptera; Psychodidae.
UUAAUAAGCUUAAAAAGCAAUUGUUUUGAAAACAAUAGAUAGAAAUUAAAUUUUUCUAU